GUCAUAUGCUUGUCUCAAAGAUUAAGCCAUGCAUGUCUCAGUACAAGCCAAAUUAAGGUGAAACCGCGAAAGGCUCAUUAAAUCAGUUAUGGUUCCUUAGAUCGUACCCACAAUUACUUGGAUAACUGUGGUAAUUCUAGAGCUAAUACAUGCAAACAGAGCUCCGACCGGAGACGGAAGGAGUGCUUUUAUUAGAUCAAAACCAAUCGGUGGCGGGUUCGCGCUCGUUAUCGUACAACUUGGUGACUCUGAAUAACUUUACGCUGAUCGCACGGUCAUCGCACCGGCGACGCAUCUUUCAAAUGUCUGCCUUAUCAACUGUCGAUGGUAGGUUCUGCGCCUACCAUGGUUGUAACGGGUAACGGGGAAUCAGGGUUCGAUUCCGGAGAGGGAGCCUGAGAAACGGCUACCACAUCCAAGGAAGGCAGCAGGCGCGCAAAUUACCCACUCCCGGCACGGGGAGGUAGUGACGAAAAAUAACGAUACGGGACUCAUCCGAGGCCCCGUAAUCGGAAUGAGUACACUCUAARCCCUUUAACGAGGAUCAAUUGGAGGGC
This 557-nucleotide ribosomal RNA is filed under the name Trigonopterus sp. 462 MB-2015. RNAcentral's name for it is "SSU rRNA". It matches the Rfam family "Eukaryotic small subunit ribosomal RNA", at positions 23 to 558 of the family's 1831-position model. Lineage: Eukaryota; Metazoa; Arthropoda; Insecta; Coleoptera; Curculionidae. The record is from RNAcentral.